Non-coding RNA from Bacillus sp. FJAT-22058, 101 nucleotides. NCBI's taxonomy places the organism in Bacteria, Bacillati, Bacillota, Bacilli, Caryophanales, Bacillaceae. The record is from Rfam.
AAUUUAUUUAAAAAAUAUCCUUGUAUAAUAUCAGUGACAAUGGUCUGAUAGUUUCUACCUGGCAGCCGUAAUGCCGGACUACAAGGAAGUAUGAAAAUAGA